CGGACGGGUGAGUAACGCGUGAGUAAUCUACCUUCGGAUGGGGAAUAACAGUCGGAAACGACUGCUAAUACCGCAUAAUGCAGCGGCAUCAUAAGAUGACAGUUGUUAAAGUAUUUAUACGUCUGGAGAGGAGCUUGCGGCAGAUUAGCUAGUUGGUAGGGUAACGGCUUACCAAGGCUACGAUCUGUAUCCGACCUGAGAGGGUGGUCGGACACACUGACGCUGAAUAACGGGUCAGACUCCUACGGGAGGCAGCAGUCGGGAAUUUUGGGCAAUGGGCGAAAGCCUGACCCAGCAACGCCGCGUGAAGGAUGAAGUCUUUCGGGAUGUAAACUUCGUAAGAAUAGGAAGAAUAAAUGACAGUACUAUUUGUAAGGUCCGGCUAACUACGUGCCAGCAGCCGCGGUAAUACGUAGGGACCAAGCGUUGUUCGGAUUUACUGGGCGUAAAGGGCGCGUAGGCGGUGUGACAAGUCACUUGUGAAAUCUCCGGGCUUAACUCGGAACGGUCAAGUGAUACUGUUGUGCUAGAGUGCAGAAGGGGCAAUCGGAAUUCUUGGUGUAGCGGUGAAAUGCGUAGAUAUCAAGAGGAACACCUGAGGUGAAGACGGGUUGCUGGGCUGACACUGACGCUGAGGCGCGAAAGCUAGGGUAGCAAAUGGGAUUAGAUACCCCAGUAGUC
This 681-nucleotide ribosomal RNA is filed under the name uncultured bacterium. RNAcentral describes it as "bacterial SSU rRNA". It matches the Rfam family "Bacterial small subunit ribosomal RNA", at positions 99 to 795 of the family's 1533-position model. The record is from RNAcentral.